This 279-nucleotide unclassified non-coding RNA is filed under the name plant metagenome. RNAcentral describes it as "partial contains small subunit ribosomal RNA, internal transcribed spacer 1, and 5.8S ribosomal RNA". The record is from RNAcentral.
UUUCCGUAGGUGAACCUGCGGAAGGAUCAUUACUGUAUAACCGAGGUGCGAGGGCUUUCUCUGACCCGAUAGGAGGUGCACGCCCGAGUGCCCUCACACACAGCCAUCUCACCCCUAUGUACAACACCUCUGCGGUCCCCCUUCUCCUUUUUCUGAGUGGGUCUUACGUUUUUUCACAAACCUGGUAUGUUGUUUCGAAUGUCUUUUUUGUUCUUGCCAUCUCGCAAUCAAAACAAUUUUCAACAACGGAACUCUUCGCUCUCUCAUCUAUGAACAACU